Long non-coding RNA from Oncorhynchus tshawytscha (Chinook salmon), 643 nucleotides. NCBI's taxonomy places the organism in Eukaryota, Metazoa, Chordata, Actinopteri, Salmoniformes, Salmonidae. The record is from Ensembl.
UAUAGAGUAUCUGGCAGUGUGUGUGUGUGUGUGUGUAUGUGUGUGUGUGUGUGUGUAUGUGUGUGUGUCAGAAUCAGUUAAGACCCUCAAGGAGUUAGCCUAGCGGUUAAGAGCGGUAACCGAAAGGUUGCUGGUUCGAAACCCUGAGACGACUAGGUGAAUAAAUCGGUCGAUGUGCCCUUGAGCAAGGCACUAAUAACUCCUGUAAGUCGUUCUGGAUAAGAUCGUCUGCCAAAUGACUACUAUGUGGGAUUUUGUAACAGAGAUCAGGCGAGGCGAGGUGGCGAGGCCGUGGAGAGUUCAGCGGACAGGGGAUUGGCUCAGGGAGGUUUCAUCUCCGAGGGUCAAUCUGGCAGGUCAUCGUAACAGCAGACAGCACACCACACUCAGGCGUCUUCUGAACCACACCUGGCCCCCUGACUGAGUCUACAGCAUGCUCCAGGACUGGUGGCAUGUGUCAGGAUAAUGAUGAACAAAACAUUAGGAACACCUUCCUCAUAUUGAUUUGCACCACCCCCCUUUUGCCCUCAGAACAGCCUCAAACACUGGCAUGGUUUAAAGAGACUGUCAGUACGUGGAUUAAAUAGACUGUCAGUACAUGGUUUAAAUAGACUGUCAGUACGUAGCUGAUAAACACUGGCUU